GCUCAGGAUGAACGCUGGCGGCGUGCCUAAUACAUGCAAGUCGAGCGAAUGGAUUAAGAGCUUGCUCUUAUGAAGUUAGCGGCGGACGGGUGAGUAACACGUGGGUAACCUACCCAUAAGACUGGGAUAACUCCGGGAAACCGGGGCUAAUACCGGAUAAUAUUUUGAACUGCAUAGUUCGAAAUUGAAAGGCGGCUUCGGCUGUCACUUAUGGAUGGACCCGCGUCGCAUUAGCUAGUUGGUGAGGUAACGGCUCACCAAGGCGACGAUGCGUAGCCGACCUGAGAGGGUGAUCGGCCACACUGGGACUGAGACACGGCCCAGACUCCUACGGGAGGCAGCAGUAGGGAAUCUUCCGCAAUGGACGAAAGUCUGACGGAGCAACGCCGCGUGAGUGAUGAAGGCUUUCGGGUCGUAAAACUCUGUUGUUAGGGAAGAACAAGUGCUAGUUGAAUAAGCUGGCACCUUGACGGUACCUAACCAGAAAGCCACGGCUAACUACGUGCCAGCAGCCGCGGUAAUACGUAGGUGGCAAGCGUUAUCCGGAAUUAUUGGGCGUAAAGCGCGCGCAGGUGGUUUUUUAAGUUUGAUGUGAAAGCCCACGGCUCAACCGUGGAGGGUCAUUGGAAACUGGGAGACUGAGGCAGAAGAGAAA
This 655-nucleotide ribosomal RNA is filed under the name uncultured Bacillus sp. Its description in RNAcentral is "bacterial SSU rRNA". It matches the Rfam family "Bacterial small subunit ribosomal RNA", at positions 22 to 657 of the family's 1533-position model. The record is from RNAcentral. Lineage: Bacteria; Bacillati; Bacillota; Bacilli; Caryophanales; Bacillaceae.